GCCUGGUGGCUUAGUUGGUUUAAGUGUCUGACUUCAGUUCAGGUCAUGAUUUCACAGUUUGUGAGUUCGAGCCCCACAUCAGGCU
This 85-nucleotide transfer RNA is filed under the name Felis catus (domestic cat). It matches the Rfam family "tRNA". From Rfam's summary of the family: Transfer RNA (tRNA) molecules are approximately 80 nucleotides in length. The record is from Rfam by way of RNAcentral. Lineage: Eukaryota; Metazoa; Chordata; Mammalia; Carnivora; Felidae. RNAcentral also lists the same sequence under 4 other names.